This 468-nucleotide ribosomal RNA is filed under the name uncultured bacterium. RNAcentral describes it as "partial 16S ribosomal RNA". It matches the Rfam family "Bacterial small subunit ribosomal RNA", at positions 28 to 507 of the family's 1533-position model. The record is from RNAcentral.
GACGAACGCUGGCGGCGUGCUUAACACAUGCAAGUCGAACGGAAAGGCCCUGCUCUUGUGGGGUGCUCGAGUGGCGAACGGGUGAGUAACACGUGAGUAACCUGCCCUUGACUUUGGGAUAACUUCAGGAAACUGGGGCUAAUACCGGAUAGGAGCUCCUGCUGCAUGGUGGGGGCUGGAAAGAUUCGGCGGUUGGGGAUGGACUCGCGGCUUAUCAGCUUGUUGGUGGGGUAGUGGCUUAACAAGGCUUUGACGGGUAGCCGGCCUGAGAGGGUGACCGGCCACAUUGGGCCUGCGAUACGGCCCAGACUCCUACGGGAGGCAGCAGUGGGGAAUAUUGCACAAUGGGCGGAAUCCUGAUGCAGCAACUCCGCGUGCGGGAUGUCGGCCUUCGGGUUGUAAACCGCUUUCGCCUGUGACGAAGCGUGAGUGACGGUAAUGGGUAAAGAAGCACCGGCUAACUACGUG